RNAcentral lists this ribosomal RNA (108 nucleotides) under Caerostris darwini. Lineage: Eukaryota; Metazoa; Arthropoda; Arachnida; Araneae; Araneidae. The record is from RNAcentral.
ACCAUACCAUGCUGAAUAUACCGGUUCUCGUUAGAUCACCGAAGUCAAGCAUCAUUGGGCGCGGUCAGUACUUGGGUGGGUGACCACCUGGGAAACACCGCGUGCCGU